AGAGUUUGAUCAUGGCUCAGAUUGAACGCUGGCGGCAUGCCUUACACAUGCAAGUCGAACGGCAGCGCGGGGGCAACCCUGGCGGCGAGUGGCGAACGGGUGAGUAAUACAUCGGAACGUGUCCUGGAGUGGGGGAUAGCCCGGCGAAAGCCGGAUUAAUACCGCAUACGCUCUACGGAGGAAAGCGGGGGACCGAAAGGCCUCGCGCUCAAGGAGCGGCCGAUGGCGGAUUAGCUAGUUGGUGGGGUAAAGGCCCACCAAGGCGACGAUCCGUAGCUGGUCUGAGAGGACGACCAGCCACACUGGGACUGAGACACGGCCCAGACUCCUACGGGAGGCAGCAGUGGGGAAUUUUGGACAAUGGGCGAAAGCCUGAUCCAGCAAUGCCGCGUGUGUGAAGAAGGCCUUCGGGUUGUAAAGCACUUUUGUCCGGAAAGAAAACUUCGCCUCUAAUACAGGUGGAGGAUGACGGUACCGGAAGAAUAAGCACCGGCUAACUACGUGCCAGCAGCCGCGGUAAUACGUAGGGUGCAAGCGUUAAUCGGAAUUACUGGGCGUAAAGCGUGCGCAGGCGGUGAUGUAAGACCGAUGUGAAAUCCCCGGGCUUAACCUGGGAACUGCAUUGGUGACUGCAUUGCUAGAGUAUGGCAGAGGGGGGUGGAAUUCCACGUAGCAGUGAAAUGCGUAGAGAUGUGGAGGAACACCGAUGGCGAAGGCAGCCCCCUGGGCCAAUACUGACGCUCAUGCACGAAAGCGUGGGGAGCAAACAGGAUUAGAUACCCUAGUAGUCC
RNAcentral lists this ribosomal RNA (791 nucleotides) under uncultured bacterium. RNAcentral describes it as "bacterial SSU rRNA". It matches the Rfam family "Bacterial small subunit ribosomal RNA", at positions 8 to 796 of the family's 1533-position model. The record is from RNAcentral.